UGGAGAGUUUGAUCCUGGCUCAGAGUGAACGCUGGCGGCAGGCCUAACACAUGCAAGUCGAACGGCAGCACAGUGGUAGCAAUACCAUGGGUGGCGAGUGGCGGACGGGUGAGGAAUACAUCGGAAUCUACCUUUUCGUGGGGGAUAACGUAGGGAAACUUACGCUAAUACCGCAUACGACCUUAGGGUGAAAGCGGAGGACCUUCGGGCUUCGCGCGGAUAGAUGAGCCGAUGUCGGAUUAGCUAGUUGGCGGGGUAAAGGCCCACCAAGGCGACGAUCCGUAGCUGGUCUGAGAGGAUGAUCAGCCACACUGGAACUGAGACACGGUCCAGACUCCUACGGGAGGCAGCAGUGGGGAAUAUUGGACAAUGGGCGCAAGCCUGAUCCAGCCAUGCCGCGUGGGUGAAGAAGGCCUUCGGGUUGUAAAGCCCUUUUGUUGGGAAAGAAAAGCAGUCGGUUAAUACCCGAUUGUUCUGACGGUACCCAAAGAAUAAGCACCGGCUAACUUCGUGCCAGCAGCCGCGGUA
Molecule: ribosomal RNA, 528 nt
Filed under: Xanthomonas sp. IR14B
Lineage: Bacteria; Pseudomonadati; Pseudomonadota; Gammaproteobacteria; Lysobacterales; Lysobacteraceae
Description: bacterial SSU rRNA
Rfam family: Bacterial small subunit ribosomal RNA
Source: RNAcentral